This is an RNA transcript of Piliocolobus tephrosceles (Ugandan red Colobus), 1610 nucleotides long. It is a transcript of the gene named lysosomal acid glucosylceramidase-like, with no coding region annotated. Lineage: Eukaryota; Metazoa; Chordata; Mammalia; Primates; Cercopithecidae. The record is from RefSeq and is a predicted model, not a curated record. The transcript is spliced from 7 exons.
GCCUGCUACUGACCCUGCAGCCAGAACAGAAGUUCCAGAAAGUGAAGGGAUUUGGAGGGGCCAUGACAGAUGCUGCUGCUCUCAACAUCCUUGCCCUGUCACCCCCUGCCCAAAAUUUGCUACUUAAAUCGUACUUCUCUGAAGAAGGAAUCGGAUAUAACAUCAUCCGCGUACCCAUGGCCAGCUGUGACUUCUCCAUCCGCACCUACACAUAUGCAGACACCCCUGAUGAUUUCCAGUUGCACAACUUCAGCCUCCCAGAGGAAGAUACCAAGCUCAAGAUACCCCUGAUUCACCAAGCCCUGUAGUUGGCCCAGCAUCCCGUUUUACUCCUUGCCAACCCCUGGACAUCACCCACCAGGCUCAAGAUCAGUGGAGUGGUGAAUGGGAAGGUGUCACUCAAGGGACAGCCCAGAGACAUCUACCACCAGACCUGGGCCAGAUACUUUGUGAAGUUCCUGGAUGCCUAUGCAGAGCACAAGUUACAGUUCUGGGCAGUGACAGCUGAAAAUGAGCCUUCUGCUGGGCUAUUGAGUGGAUACCCCUUCCAGUGCCUGGGCUUCACCCCUGAACAUCAGCGAGACUUCAUUGCCCGUGACCUAGGUCCUACCCUCGCCAACAGUACUCACCACAAUGUCCGCCUGCUCAUGCUGGAUGACCAACGCUUGCUGCUGCCCCACUGGGCAAAGGUGAACCUCCUGUACCAUGUGGUCGGCUGGACCGACUGGAACCUCGCCCUGAACCCCGAAGGAGGACCCAACUGGGUGCGUAAUUUUGUCGACAGUCCCGUCAUUGUAGACAUCACCAAGGACACGUUUUACAAACAGCCCAUGUUCUACCACCUUGGUCACUUCAGCAAGUUCAUUCCUGAGGGCUCCCAGAGAGUGGGGCUGGUUGCCAGUCAGAAGAACGACCUGGACACAGUGGCACUGAUGCAUCCCGAUGGCUCUGCCGUUGUGGUCGUGCUAAACCGCUCCUCUAAGGAUGUGCCUCUUACCAUCAAGGAUCCUGCCGUGGGCUUCCUGGAGACGAUCUCACCUGGCUACUCCAUUCACACCUACCUGUGGCGUCGCCAGUGAUGGAGUGGAUACUCAAGCUCAGCCUGAGCAUUAAAGGGACAGAGUCAGCUCACACGCUGUCUGUGGCUAAAGAGGGCACAGCAGGGCCAGGGUGAGCUUACAGCGACAUAAGCCCAAGGGCAGUGGUUUGGGUGAUUCACUUUCCCCUCUAGGUGGUGCCAGGGGCUGGAGGCCCCUAGAAAAAGAUCAGUAAGCCCCAGUGUCCCCCCAGCCCCCAUGCUUAUGUGAACGUGCACUGUGUGCUGCUUGCUUUGGAAACUGGACCUGGGCCCAGGCCUAGGGUGAGCUCACUGUCGUACAAACACAAGAUGAAGGGUGAGGGUAAGGAAAAGAAGAGACUAGGAAAGCUGGGCCCAAAACUGGAGACUGUUUGUCUUUCCUGGAGAUGCAGAACUGGGCCCGUGGAGCAGCAGUGUCAGCAUCAGGGCGGAAGCCUUAAAGCAGCAGCAGGUGUGCCCAGGCACCCAGAUGGUUCCUGUGGGACUAACCAGGAAAAAUGGCAGCUCUUAAAGGAGAAAAUGUUUGAGCCCA